AAAUGUAUUUACUGACACUGUGUACAUUUUGUGCCAUUUCUGAUGUCUUUAACAGUUGUUUUGUCUGUGUUUUUCAGGACUAUAUUCCUGUGCGGAUGGAUUAAAAAACUACUCCAGACUGGUAGAGACAUGACAUAUGUGUAUUGGAAAUAUAAACAUGGACUUAAAACUUUGAUGUGUAGCAAAAAAGUUCAUCGUUGAUGAUAGUGAUUUUCUAAGCUAUAUUGACUGGAACAGGGCCAUUCUUCAGAAAUACAGAGCUGUCAAUGCUGCAAUUUUGUUGUGAAAGUCACAAUCCAUGUCAGAAGUUGCUUGUUUUACUAUACAGCCAAGAAGAAGAAAUUGUACUGGGCCGACACCUAUAUGGGAAAUAGUUAAUUUUGAAUAUCUCAGCAACCAAAGGGUUUACAGCAAUGAAACUUCACACACUAGUAGCUGAUAACAAUAAAAACCAGUGGCUAAAAGGAUUUUAUCAAGUUGCAGGUGAUGAAUUCCAUGGGUUGGUAGAAACUUAGAAUGGUACCACCAGUCACCAACACCCACUAGACCAGAGCAAACUAUCGAGUCGUGUGGACAGAAGCUGCAGUUUCCAGCGUAGCACUGUAUAGUAGCUGCUCUUAUUGUCGAUCCAGCUGUCGUGGUCGAAGUUCGGGUUUCUUUGGGCAGCCCCUAUCCAGCUGGUCUUCACUUACAGCUGAACUACAUCCAGGAUCGGUUGCAGCCUUAGAAGGAAGAAG
This is a long non-coding RNA of Mercenaria mercenaria, 737 nucleotides long. RefSeq lists it as uncharacterized. The transcript has 3 exons. The record is from RefSeq and is a predicted model, not a curated record. NCBI's taxonomy places the organism in Eukaryota, Metazoa, Mollusca, Bivalvia, Venerida, Veneridae.